UCCCUGGUGGCUCAGAUGGUAAAGAAUCUGCCUGCAAUGCAGGAGACCUGGGUUCAAUCCCCGGCUUGGGAA
RNAcentral lists this transfer RNA (72 nucleotides) under Capra hircus (goat). It matches the Rfam family "tRNA". From Rfam's summary of the family: Transfer RNA (tRNA) molecules are approximately 80 nucleotides in length. Lineage: Eukaryota; Metazoa; Chordata; Mammalia; Artiodactyla; Bovidae. The record is from Rfam by way of RNAcentral. RNAcentral also lists the same sequence under 1 other name.